Molecule: ribosomal RNA, 1229 nt
Filed under: metagenome
Description: bacterial LSU rRNA
Rfam family: Bacterial large subunit ribosomal RNA
Source: RNAcentral
AAAAUGACACCGUAACUUCGGGAGAAGGUGUGCCCUCUGUACGUGAAGCCCCUUGCGGGUGGAGCGGAAGAGGGUUGCAGAGAAACGGGGGUAGCGACUGUUUACCAAAAACCCAGCACUGUGCGAAGUCGGAAGACGACGUAUACGGUGUGAUGCCUGCCCGGUGCCGGAAGGUUAAGGGGAGUUGUCAGCCGCAAGGCAAAGCAGCGAACCGAAGCCCCGGUAAACGGCGGCCGUAACAAUAACGGUCCUAAGGUAGCGAAAUUCCUUGUCGGGUAAGUUCCGACCUGCACGAAUGGCAUAACGACUUCCCCACUGUCUCGAGCAGGGACUCAGCGAAGUAGCACUAGGGGUGAAGAUACCCUUUACCCGCGGCAGGCCGGAAAGACCCCGUGAACCUUUACUGUAACUUGGCACUGAACUUCGGGUUCGUUUGCGUAGGAUAGGUGGGACGCUAGGAAGCAUGGACUCCGGUCUGUGUGGAGCGGCCGUUGAAAUACCACCCUGACAAAUCUGGAGUUCUAACCUGCACCCGUGAGCCGGGUGGGGGACAAUGCCUGGUGGGCAGUUUGACUGGGGCGGUCGCCUCCCAAAGAGUAACGGAGGCGCGCGAAGGUUCCCUCAGGCUGAUUGGAAACCAGCCGACGAGUGUAAUGGCAUAAGGGAGCUUGACUGCGAGACUGACAAGUCGAGCAGGUGCGAAAGCAGGUCAUAGUGAUCCGGUGGUUCUGAAUGGAAGGGCCAUCGCUCAACGGAUAAAAGGUACUCCGGGGAUAACAGGCUUAUCACGCCCAAGAGUUCACAUCGACGGCGUGGUUUGGCACCUCGAUGUCGGCUCAUCGCAUCCUGGGGCUGAAGUUGGUCCCAAGGGUUUGGCUGUUCGCCAAUUAAAGCGGUACGCGAGCUGGGUUCAAAACGUCGUGAGACAGUUUGGUCCCUAUCCGCCGUGGGCGCAGGACGCUUGAGAGGAUCUGUCCUUAGUACGAGAGGACCGGGAUGGACGGACCGCUAGUGUUCCGGUUGUGGCGCCAGCUGCAAUGCCGGGUAGCUAUGUUCGGAAGGGAUAACCGCUGAAAGCAUCUAAGCGGGAAGCCCACCUCGAGAUAAGGCGUCCCUGAGACUUCGGUCUCCUGAAGACCCCAUGUAGACCACGUGGUUGAUAGGCUGGGUGUGGAAGCGCUGCAAGGCGCGGAGCUAACCAGUACUAAUCGGUCGUGAGGCUUGACCAC